CAGUAGCGUAUAUUAAAGUUGUUGCAGUUAAAAUGCUCGUAGUUGAAGUUCGGAUGCAGCAGAGCUUGGAAACGCUGUUAUGGUGCUUCCGUUGCUUUUGCUUGUCCACAGUGCGUUGCAAGUACGUAUGUGCUUGUGCGUGCAUUUUACUUUGAAAAACAUAGGGUGUUCCACGCAUGUUACGGCAUGAAUAUUCCAGCAUGGGAUAAUCUGGUACGACUUCCAAUCUGCCAUUUUGGUUCGUAGGUUGGAAGUAAUGAUUAAUAGGGACUGUCGGGGGCAUUGGUAUUUGACUGUCAGAGGUGAAAUUCUUAGAUUCGUUGAGGACCAACCACUGCGAAAGCAUUUGUCAAGGAUGUCUCCAUUAA
This 368-nucleotide ribosomal RNA is filed under the name uncultured eukaryote. Its description in RNAcentral is "partial 18S ribosomal RNA". It matches the Rfam family "Eukaryotic small subunit ribosomal RNA", at positions 592 to 976 of the family's 1831-position model. The record is from RNAcentral.